Molecule: ribosomal RNA, 1161 nt
Filed under: uncultured bacterium
Lineage: Bacteria
Description: bacterial SSU rRNA
Rfam family: Bacterial small subunit ribosomal RNA
Source: RNAcentral
AAGAACGGUAGCGGGAGGCUUUAUACAUGAAAUUCAAAGGGUAAGUCCCUUUGGGGAUACCAGGAGGGGGAACGGGUGCGUAACGCGUAUACAACUUCCCCCAAUGGGGGGGAAUUAUGGGGAGAAAUCGGGUUUAAUCCCCCCAUCCUUUCUUAAAUAGGCAUCUUAUAAAAAAAAAAGUUCCGGCGCUAUGGGAUGGGUUUGCGUGACAUUAGUUAGAUGGUGAGGUAAAAGCUCACCAUGACGAUGAUGUCUAGCUGGUCUGAGAGGAUGAUCAGCCACACGGGCACUGAGACACGGGCCCGACUCCUACGGGAGGCAGCAGUAAGGAAUAUUGGUCAAUGGGGGCAACCCUGAACCAGCCAUGCCGCGUGAAGGAAGACGGUUCUCUGAAUUGUAAACUUCUUUUGCUAGGGACUAACCAUGAGCUAUACGCUCAUCUGCAGGUACCUAGAGAAUAAGCACCGGCUAACUACGUGCCAGCAGCCGCGGUAAUACGUAGGGUGCAAGCGUUGUCCGGAUUUAUUGGGUUUAAAGGGUGCGCAGGCGGUUUGUUAAGUUAGUGGUGAAAUCGUCCCGCUCAACGGGAUACCCGCCAUUGAUACUGGCAAACUUGAGUGUGACAGAGGAAUUUGGAAUGCGUGGUGUAGCGGUGAAAUGCAUAGAUAUCACGCAGAACACCUAUUGCGAAGGCAGAAUUCUAUGUCAUAACUGACGCUGAGGCACGAAAGCGUGGGUAGCGAACAGGAUUAGAUACCCUGGUAGUCCACGCCGUAAACGAUGAUUACUAGGUGUUCGGCCUUUUAGGCUGAGUGCCCAAGCGAAAGCGAUAAGUAAUCCACCUGGGGAGUACGUUGGCAACAAUGAAACUCAAAGGAAUUGACGGGGGCCCGCACAAGCGGUGGAGCAUGUGGUUUAAUUCGAUGAUACGCGAGGAGCCUUACCUGGGCUAUAAUGCCUCUGCUAUCUGCCGAAAGGUGGAGUUUCUUCGGAACAGAGUGCAAGGUGCUGCAUGGUUGUCGUCAGCUCGUGCCGUGAGGUGUUGGGUUAAGUCCCGCAACGAGCGCAACCCCUAUCUUUAGUUGCCAUCAGGUUAAGCUGGGGACUCUAAAGAGACUGCCUCCGCAAGGAGUGAGGAAGGCGGGGACGACGUCAAAUCAU